GAUGAACGCUGGCGGCGUGCUUAACACAUGCAAGUCGAACGAAGCGCUUAAAUGGAUUUCUUCGGAUUGAAGUUUUUGUGACUGAGUGGCGGACGGGUGAGUAACGCGUGGGUAACCUGCCUCAUACAGGGGGAUAACAGUUAGAAAUGACUGCUAAUACCGCAUAAGCGCACAGUGUUGCAUGGCACAGUGUGAAAAACUCCGGUGGUAUGAGAUGGACCCGCGUCUGAUUAGCUAGUUGGUAAGGUAACGGCUUACCAAGGCAAUGAUGCAUAGCCGAGUUGAGAGACUGAUCGGCCACAUUGGGACUGAGACACGGCCCAU
This 324-nucleotide ribosomal RNA is filed under the name uncultured bacterium. RNAcentral describes it as "bacterial SSU rRNA". It matches the Rfam family "Bacterial small subunit ribosomal RNA", at positions 28 to 334 of the family's 1533-position model. The record is from RNAcentral.